Tripterygium wilfordii is the source of this 2126-nucleotide long non-coding RNA. RefSeq lists it as uncharacterized. NCBI's taxonomy places the organism in Eukaryota, Viridiplantae, Streptophyta, Magnoliopsida, Celastrales, Celastraceae. The transcript is spliced from 2 exons. The record is from RefSeq and is a predicted model, not a curated record.
UGCUGCUACGACAGCAAUCCAGGAAAAAAAAAUUUUUGGAGAUAAAGUUUGGUAGGUAUGCUGUAUGUUUUGAUAUAAGCCUCCACUUUUUGAAGUUCUAUGGGAAGGUUAAUGUUUUAAAAUGGUUGGCUAGAUGAAAUAAAGUCAUAAACACUUGAAGUUGAAAAUGCGUCUUGCUGUACACAUAAAACUUCCGAAGUACAUCAACUCUCUCUAAGAUUCAUUUAAAGGGGAAUCACAAAUCAGAACCCCCUAGUUUAGGGCAUAAGAUCAACUUCUUUUUCAAACCUCCCCCAGUGUCGAAUUUCUAUGCUUGGUAUGGAACUUUUGAUUAGUAUAGUUUGUAAAUCUGCAUUUUGGAGAUGAUUGCCCCUUCCCCAAUCAUUAUCAGAAUGCAGGUUCAUAUUAGUUCAGCAAAAUGAAGGCAUUGUGUCUAGUGUCCCUCAUUUUGGCGUAAUAAGAGCUGACUAAGAGUGUCCCUCAUUUUGGCAUAAUAAGAGCUGACUAAGAGACAAUGAUCUGUAAAUCUCUAGCGAGUAUCUCCUUUGGUUUUCUCUUUUGAAUUUGAAAGGCAAUAUUAACUGUUGCAGCAGUCAUUUAAUCUUGAUUUCAUUGUUUUCAGAAGCUUUUCCAAUAUUUAAACUAUCAAAUUGCUUCCCUGCCCACCAUGCGACUGUACAUACAUGUUUAUUGAAUGUAUAUGAUAAAAGUUACUCAAUCUUUUCUCCUGUACUACAAAAGAUCAGAUAUGACUUAGAUAUUUUAUUGGAUUGGUUGAAAGAGUCCUUUUUCUGUUUUUUAUCCCUGCUCUGGCAUCUUAUGCUGCAGAUAUUGAUGCAAGUUAUUGCUUGGUUUGAACUUUUUAACACUAGUCAAUAAAUAUUGGCAUUCUAUAGAAAAGAAAGAGAACCAGUCUGAUUUAUUUCAGUAAGAUUGCUAAAAUAGAAUGAAAGAAAUAAUUUAUGACACCCUUUUUCUCUAUUGCAAAUCCAGGAUUUGGUCUUUCAUGCAUGCUUAGUAAAGUUAAUACAGCUUACGAGAAUUAUAGAGAUUUGAUGGUUCGCUUUUAUAAAUUUGUUGCAAAGUAAGCCCUCUUUGACUUGUGUUUGGGACGUGCAUGGCUGGAGCCUAUUGGGUUCAUAUCUUGUGAAAAUGUAGAAGGCUUGAGGUCAUGGUGCAUUCUUUAUCUUUCAGCUGUGUGUGGUGUGAGUUUUUGGCAGACUUCAGGAGGGGAGGUUUGGAGUUUAUGAUCUUGUAUCCUAAUACUCUUCGACUCUUCGUUGUGGACUUUUCAUGCCGCUACAUCAUAAUUUUGGGUUGUGUUUACCAUUUUGUACUUGGAUUAUGCAUUUAUGCUUGGUUGUCUUUCUGUCACAUUUGGUUUCUCAACGAGAUUUAGUGAUUCAUCAGUAUUUGAGCUUCCGUUUAUCACUCAGCUAAUGCUUGUUGUUUGUUUUGGGCUGAGAAUAACCCAUUUUCUUGGCAGCUUUUAAUCUUAAUCUUUACGUAUGUACUGGUUUUCCUCUAUUGGUAGAGUAUCUUGCAAUGUGAACAACUUGACAUUUAUUUCUGUGAAGUUAAAUUCAAUUGGCAUAAUGCUAAAUGUCAGUGAAGAAAUGGUCUGUGAGGAAGCUGAGCUUGGAGCACAAGGAUUUAAGGAGAAAAUGCAUGGUCAACAAAAACUACAGGAACAAGUAAUAUCUAGCUAAAUCUGAUCUAAGAUGUUGUUUGAAAAUUGGUUCUGCUAAGAAAGCGGAAUGAAUUUUAUUUGCAGCAAUUGGGAAUGCUAAAUUACAUGUGGAAAUUUCACCUGGCCAUGCUAUUCCCAUGUGAAUCAGCAAGGAUCACCCUACAAGGCUAAAUACUCCUGAGUGAUUAUCAUAGAUUACUAGCAAUUGACUUGCUGAAUGAUAUCGUUAUGGUUGUGAAGUUGCACCAGCAGAUGGAAAAUGCCAAUUUUGAAGGUGAAGUAUCCGUUUUGUCAUCAAACAGAUUCAAGAGAUUGUUCGAGGGAAGGGUGUCACCUUUGUUUAGGCCAAGGUAGAUUAGAAACAUAUAUCCCUUUAGUGCACUGUAUUGGUGUUGUGGCGAACUUGUGUAAUAUUCAAGAAUCUUCUUUUGCUUUU